GUGAAUCAUCAAAUUUUUGAACGCAAAUUGCACUCUCCUCGGAGAGUAUGCCUGUUUGAGGGUCAGCCUAUAAAAAAUCGACAUCGUUGCUGUUUCGCGGUGGCGUUCGUCGGAAAUUGGGUCAUCUUAAUCCCUUUGGUUUUAGCGACUUAAAAAUUUCCUUUUGUUUCAUGGACGGUUCUUAGAUCUAUUUCUUUACAAGUUUAAGGUAAUGAUUUUUAAUAGACGUUACC
Molecule: unclassified non-coding RNA, 233 nt
Filed under: Glomus sp.
Lineage: Eukaryota; Fungi; Glomeromycota; Glomeromycetes; Glomerales; Glomeraceae
Description: partial contains 5.8S ribosomal RNA and internal transcribed spacer 2
Rfam family: 5.8S ribosomal RNA (bases 1-65)
Source: RNAcentral